This 483-nucleotide ribosomal RNA is filed under the name uncultured bacterium. RNAcentral describes it as "partial 16S ribosomal RNA". It matches the Rfam family "Bacterial small subunit ribosomal RNA", at positions 28 to 523 of the family's 1533-position model. The record is from RNAcentral.
GACGAACGCUGGCGGCGUGCUUAACACAUGCAAGUCGAACGAUGAAAGCGGAGCUUGCUCCGCUGGAUUAGUGGUGAACGGGUGAGUAACACGUGGGCAACCUGCCCCAGACUCUGGGAUAACUCCCCGAAAGAGGUGCUAAUACCGGAUACGAACUCCUUGGGCAUCCUUGGAGUUGGAAAGUUUUUCGGUCUGGGAUGGGCCCGCGGCCUAUCAGCUUGUUGGUGGGGUAGUGGCCCACCAAGGCGACGACGGGUAGCCGGCCUGAGAGGGCGACCGGCCACACUGGGACUGAGACACGGCCCAGACUCCUACGGGAGGCAGCAGUGGGGAAUAUUGCGCAAUGGGCGAAAGCCUGACGCAGCGACGCCGCGUGAGGGAUGACGGCCUUCGGGUUGUAAACCUCUUUCAGCAGGGAAGAAGCGAAAGUGACGGUACCUGCAGAAGAAGCACCGGCUAACUACGUGCCAGCAGCCGCAGUAA